UCCAGCAGUAGUCAGCUGUCCGGACACAAUUAUUCCUGUGAUGGUGUUACACUGCUGGGAGAGAAAUGCCAUGUCUUCUUCCUCCAGUUGCCUGUGUCACUGUUCUGGUGGCUGCUGGCACUGGUGUAAGGCAGGGCUGUGCUUCCUUGAGAGUGUACUAAGCAAUUGCUCUGGCUGCUUAGUUCUAGUCUGGGAGCAAACACU
Molecule: small nucleolar RNA, 204 nt
Organism: Sorex araneus (European shrew)
Lineage: Eukaryota; Metazoa; Chordata; Mammalia; Eulipotyphla; Soricidae
Gene: SNORA74
Rfam family: Small nucleolar RNA SNORA74
About the family: U19 belongs to the H/ACA class of snoRNAs. snoRNAs bind a number of proteins (including dyskerin, Gar1p and Nop10p in the case of the H/ACA class) to form snoRNP complexes. This class are thought to guide the sites of modification of uridines to pseudouridines by forming direct base pairing interactions with substrate RNAs. Targets may include ribosomal and spliceosomal RNAs but the exact functions of many snoRNAs, including U19, are not confirmed.
Source: Ensembl